Molecule: long non-coding RNA, 439 nt
Filed under: Gallus gallus (chicken)
Lineage: Eukaryota; Metazoa; Chordata; Aves; Galliformes; Phasianidae
Description: lncRNA (ENSGALG00010012675.1)
Source: RNAcentral
UCUGAAUGUAGUGGAAAUGUUGAGUCAUGGCCUGAGGCAGUGAUUGAGCACCUGGUGGGAAGGCAGGGCCAACCCAGAGGAGCUCAGGUGUGUGCAAUGUAGCUGAGUGAACAGAAGGGCUGGAGCCAGGAUCCAGCCCCUCCCAUACCUCAUUUAAGGGUUGGCAGUGGAGGUGAGGGCAUUUCUUGUUGGAGAUCCCUGCCUACCUGAGGCCUUCCAAAGAGCUGGCAGUGCCUGCAGACAGAAGCCCUGCUCUGUUCCUUUCCUGGCAGCAUCCUCGUGCCUCUGGGAAUAGGAAGGGAGUGAACUGGAACAGUUCUGUACGGAGCCAGUAUCCUUCCACGAUGUGGGAAGACAAUCUGCAGUUUUGUCUCAGGUAGGAUUAAGCUUCCCAUCUGUUUGCUCACGCAGGGUCCUGCUGCACACUGCCCAGAAUUAG